Long non-coding RNA from Lycium ferocissimum, 892 nucleotides. RefSeq lists it as uncharacterized. The transcript is spliced from 2 exons. The record is from RefSeq and is a predicted model, not a curated record. NCBI's taxonomy places the organism in Eukaryota, Viridiplantae, Streptophyta, Magnoliopsida, Solanales, Solanaceae.
UAGUGUUGCUAAGGUGUGAGUUGUUGGUGAAGUUCAUGAAAUUGAAGGAAGAAAAUGUGUUGUUAUUGUUCUUGUUCCAUUUGGAAGAUUUCGGAUGGCAUAGCAUAUGGGUUGGAUUAUUUUGAAUAUUGUACGGAUUGUUUGAAGUAUUCUUGAAUAGUGUUUGAAUGGUUGCGAAUUAGUACUUGAAUGUGUGAGCAAAUAUGAAGUGAAUAUAAGUGAAACGCCGUUGAAGUUUGUAGAAAGAAGUUGUUAAUGUUAGUAUGCUUUUUGAAUCAAUUGUGAAUAUUGUUAGAAUAAUUGUUGGUAUUGUUAUUGAUAUUUUGGCCGAGUUAGAUUCUCGGAUUUGUUGUUGUAUGUUUGGCCGAGUUGAAUUCUCGGAGAUGUUGCAUUUACAGGGGAAAUGCUGCUGAAAUUUCUGUAGAAUAAAUGUUGUUUUAGAAUUGGACUCUAAGUGUCUAUGGCUAAUGUUGGCACAUGUGAAUAUUGUUGUAGAUCUUGCGAAGCGAAAGACUUAAGUUCGGAUUAGCAUAGAAAGCGGGCAAGGUACAGACAUUUGUGUGAGUGACCCGACAGCUUAGGCUAUCUGUUCUGCUGCCUUGGAGUGCUCCCUUGUUCUGGAGCCUAUAUUUUGGUACAGACUCUUCCGUUAUAUAUAUGUAUGUGCAUAUUCAGGGGUACGGCGGGGCCCUGUCCCGUCAUUUGAUUCUGUUAUGUUUGUUAGAGGCCUGUAGACAUAUAUGUGGGUCAUGGGUCGUUAUUGUUCGGUUAUGUCUGUGAUUUGCGUCUAAGCGGUCCUAUUUGCUAUGACAGCCUUAAUGGCUUGUUUGUAUAUAUAUACUUGUGUAUAUGCUUUGGAUGAUAUGUUCUACGACAGCAUUAGCGGCUUCUA